ACGACCCUUUCGGGGUUGUACAAGCACUUUUGUCAGGGCAAUGAAUUCCUUUGGCUAGUAUCCCUAUGGGGAUCGACGGUACUGAAGAAUAAGCACCGGGCUAACUACGUGCCAGCAGCCGCGGUAAUACGUAGGGUGCAAGCGUUAAUCGGAAUUACUGGGCGUAAAGCGUGCGCAGGCGGUUGUGUAAGACAGGUGUGAAAUCCCCGGGCUUAACCUGGGAAUUGCAUUUGUGACUGCACGACUAGAGUGUGUCAGAGGGGGGUGGAAUUCCACGUGUAGCAGUGAAAUGCGUAGAUAUGUGGAGGAACACCAAUGGCGAAGGCAGCCCCCUGGGAUAACACUGACGCUCAUGCACGAAAGCGUGGGGAGCAAACAGGAUUAGAUACCCUGGUAGUCCACGCCCUAAACGAUGUCAACUAGUUGUUGGGGAUUUACUUCCUUGGUAACGUAGCUAACGCGUGAAGUUGACCGCCUGGGGAGUACGGCCGCAAGGUUAAAACUCAAAGGAAUUGACGGGGACCCGCACAAGCGGUGGAUGAUGUGGAUUAAUUCGAUGCAACGCGAAAAACCUUACCUACCCUUGACAUGGCAGGAACUUUCCAGAGAUGGAUUGGUGCUCGAAAGAGAACCUGCACACAGGUGCUGCAUGGCUGUCGUCAGCUCGUGUCGUGAGAUGUUGGGUUAAGUCCCGCAACGAGCGCAACCCUUGUCAUUAGUUGCUACGAAAGGGCACUCUAAUGAGACUGCCGGUGACAAACCGGAGGAAGGUGGGGAUGACGUCAAGUCCUCAUGGCCCUUAUGGGUAGGGCUUCACACGUCAUACAAUGGUCGGUACAGAGGGUUGCCAAGCCGCGAGGUGGAGCCAAUCCCAGAAAACCGAUCGUAGUCCGGAUCGCAGUCUGCAACUCGACUGCGUGAAGUCGGAAUCGCUAGUAAUCGCGGAUCAGAAUGCCGCGGUGAAUACGUUCCCGGGUCUUGUACACACCGCCCGUCACACCAUGGGAGUGGGUUCUACCAGAAGUGGCUAGUCUAACCGCAAGGAGGACGGUCACCACGGUAGGAUUCAUGACUGGGGUGAAGUCGUAACAAGGUA
RNAcentral lists this ribosomal RNA (1096 nucleotides) under uncultured bacterium. RNAcentral describes it as "bacterial SSU rRNA". It matches the Rfam family "Bacterial small subunit ribosomal RNA", at positions 408 to 1498 of the family's 1533-position model. The record is from RNAcentral.